RNAcentral lists this long non-coding RNA (262 nucleotides) under Monodelphis domestica (gray short-tailed opossum). RNAcentral's name for it is "lncRNA (ENSMODG00000034054.2)". Lineage: Eukaryota; Metazoa; Chordata; Mammalia; Didelphimorphia; Didelphidae. The record is from RNAcentral.
CAGGAAGUGAUGUAAAAAAACAUUCUAUAUAUUUCUCAUCACUUCCUCUCUUGGGGUCUUUUCUCAGAGAGGUGGCACUGGCUCUGGUGGCAGAGAGGCAACUGGUGGCUACGUGCUGAGAGUCUUGGCAUCUUGGCGUGGCUGCAGCUAUUGUCUGGGUCUAGCAGGAAUGUCUAGCCAUGGUGCUGGCUGGUCAACAAUGGCCCUUCCCACUUAGAUUUCUAGAGGGAGUGGUUGAGAGAGAUGACAAAAUUGAAACAUG